UAAACGACUCUCGGCAACGGAUAUCCCGGCUCUCGCAUCGAUGAAGAACGUAGCGAAAUGCGAUACUUGGUGUGAAUUGCAGAAUCCCGUGAACCAUCGAGUCUUUGAACGCAAGUUGCGCCCGAAGCCACUAGGCUGAGGGCACGUCUGCCUGGGUGUCACGC
This 164-nucleotide ribosomal RNA is filed under the name Ligusticum grayi. RNAcentral describes it as "5.8S ribosomal RNA". It matches the Rfam family "5.8S ribosomal RNA". From Rfam's summary of the family: 5.8S ribosomal RNA (5.8S rRNA) is a component of the large subunit of the eukaryotic ribosome. It is transcribed by RNA polymerase I as part of the 45S precursor that also contains 18S and 28S rRNA. Lineage: Eukaryota; Viridiplantae; Streptophyta; Magnoliopsida; Apiales; Apiaceae. The record is from RNAcentral.